RNAcentral lists this ribosomal RNA (253 nucleotides) under uncultured bacterium. Its description in RNAcentral is "partial 16S ribosomal RNA". It matches the Rfam family "Bacterial small subunit ribosomal RNA", at positions 524 to 776 of the family's 1533-position model. The record is from RNAcentral.
UACGUAGGGGGCAAGCGUUGUCCGGAUUUAUUGGGCGUAAAGAGCGUGUAGGCGGCCUGACAGGUCUGCUGUGAAAACUCGAGGCUCAACCUCGAGCUGUCGGUGGAAACUGUCUGGCUAGAGUCCGGAAGAGGAGAGUGGAAUUCCUGGUGUAGCGGUGAAAUGCGCAGAUAUCAGGAGGAACACCGGUGGCGAAGGCGGAUCUCUGGGCCAUUACUGACGCUGAGGAGCGAAAGCGUGGGGAGCGAACAGG